AGGAGCUGCCGCAGGCUGCGAUCUUUUGAUCUUGUUCUAAAUGCAAGAUCACAAGAUCGCAGCCUGCGGCAGCUCCU
This 77-nucleotide unclassified non-coding RNA is filed under the name Pseudomonas helmanticensis. Lineage: Bacteria; Pseudomonadati; Pseudomonadota; Gammaproteobacteria; Pseudomonadales; Pseudomonadaceae. The record is from RNAcentral.